GCCUUGGACACUUCCAGGGAUGGGGCACCCUCAGCUGCUCCGGGCACCCUGUGCCAGAGCCUCUCCACCCUCACAGUGAAGAAUUCCUUCCCAGUAUCCCAUCUAACACUGCCAUCUGGCAGUGGAAAGCCAUUGCCCCAUGUCCUGCCACUCCAUACCCUUGUAAAUAAUCUCUGUCUUUCUUGACAGCUCCUUCAGGUUCUGGAAGGCCACCAUUAGGUGACCUCCAAGUCUCUUUUCCAGGCUGAACAAUCCCAACCCUCUCAGCUCUUUGCCUUUUCUCCAAGGUCUCUGGGAACCUGAAAGUCAAGAGCAGCUGGCACCGAGGGCCACGUUCUUCCAACAAUCCGCCUUGUCUUUCCAAAGUGAGGAUAUAAAUAGCGCGUCCUGCAACGACGCCAUUACCCGGAGCUGCGCCGCGGCCGCUCGCAGCAGACCCGUUACCCACAGCAGCCAAUUUAUUCCCAGCUCCGGCAGGGUCAGCAACCGUCAGGGAAACCAAUGCUAAUUAAUAGCACUGUGCAAAGCAGCCGGUCUGGGCAUGGCAUGUAAUUAGUGAGCCAACUGCACCUGCCACAGCGCUGGGGCUGUGGGGAAAGCGGCGACGGAGCAGCCACCGAGGAGGGACCCACGGCAGCUUCUGGCUAGAAGUCGGGAUGAGGGCACCGACUGCUCUGGAGACACGUGUGCCACGCUGCCAUCAGCGAGGCUGUGGCACUCUGUGUGUGCUCCCAUCCCUCUGGCCUCUGCACCACCCUUCCUGCUGCAGCCCCCAUCCCUGCUGUCUCCUCAACAGGUUUCCACUGAAAGGAGGUUUCCUGACCCCAAACCAAAUCAUCCCAUGGACUUCUGCAGGAGCAUGAAAAAGGGGAGGGAAGAUCCAGGGUCUGAGUCCAGAGCAAGAAGCUCUGAAGCUGUGCUCUGUGAUUUGGCACAGUUAGAGAGCAGCAGGAUUGCAGCUGACCUGAAUUCCCAAGAUCAAAGUCAACUCCGCUUCUUCCCCAGCAUCUCCAGAGCCCUCCAAGGAGCUGAAUCAAUGAGCUGAACAGCCCUGUGUCCAUCUCAUCUGCUACUGGCAUCCAGGGCUGCGGGUGAUGGCAGGACCAUCUCCCCUGCACUGAGGCUCAGAGCUAAAAAGCUGCACAAAAUGUAACAUUUAUAUGCUGAGAAAGAAGCCUGCCUCCUCCAUGAUCAGGGC
This 1198-nucleotide long non-coding RNA is filed under the name Chloebia gouldiae (Gouldian finch). RNAcentral's name for it is "Erythrura gouldiae (Gouldian finch) lncRNA (ENSEGOG00005014151.1)". The record is from RNAcentral. Lineage: Eukaryota; Metazoa; Chordata; Aves; Passeriformes; Passeridae.